GGUGAACGCUGGCUACAGGCUUAACACAUGCAAGUCGAGGGGAAACGACGGGGAAGCUUGCUUCCCCGGGCGUCGACCAGCGCACGGGUGAGUAACGCGUAUCCAACCUGCCUCUGACUGAGGGAUAACCCGUCGAAAGUCGGCCUAAUACCUCAUGGCAUCGUCUGCGGGCAUCCAACGACGAUUAAAGAUUUCAUCGGUCAGAGAUGGGGAUGCGUCUGAUUAGCUUGUUGGCGGGGUAACGGCCCACCAAGGCGACGAUCAGUAGGGGUUCUGAGAGGAAGGUCCCCCACAUUGGAACUGAGACACGGUCCAAACUCCUACGGGAGGCAGCAGUGAGGAAGAUUGGUCAAUGGGCGAGAGCCUGAACCAGCCAAGUAGCGUGCAGGAUGACGGCCCUAUGGGUUGUAAACUGCUUUUAUGCGGGGAUAAAGUGAGGGACGUGUCCUUCAUUGCAGGUACCGCAUGAAUAAGGACCGGCUAAUUCCGUG
Molecule: ribosomal RNA, 491 nt
Filed under: uncultured bacterium
Lineage: Bacteria
Description: partial 16S ribosomal RNA
Rfam family: Bacterial small subunit ribosomal RNA
Source: RNAcentral